AUUGAACGCUGGCGGCAUGCCUUACACAUGCAAGUCGAACGGUAGAGGGCUUCGGCCCUUGAGAGUGGCGAACGGGUGAGUAAAGCAUCGGAACGUACCCUGUCGAGGGGGAUAACGUAGCGAAAGUUACGCUAAUACCGCAUAAGACCUGAGGGUGAAAGUGGGGGACUGGAAACGGCCUCACGCGAUGGGAGCGGCCGAUGUCGGAUUAGCUAGUUGGUGGGGUAAAGGCCUACCAAGGCGACGAUCCGUAGCGGGUCUGAGAGGAUGAUCCGCCACACUGGGACUGAGACACGGCCCAGACUCCUACGGGAGGCAGCAGUGGGGAAUUUUGGACAAUGGGCGCAAGCCUGAUCCAGCCAUGCCGCGUGGGUGAAGAAGGCCUCGGUUGUAAGCCUUCGUCCGGAGAAACGUAGCGGGCGAACAGUCUGCACGGAGUGACGGUACCGGAAGAAGAAG
This 459-nucleotide ribosomal RNA is filed under the name uncultured bacterium. RNAcentral describes it as "bacterial SSU rRNA". It matches the Rfam family "Bacterial small subunit ribosomal RNA", at positions 29 to 490 of the family's 1533-position model. The record is from RNAcentral.